CCUCAACUAUAUAUGGUAAGAAAUGAAAGGAAAAUAAGUUGUUGAUGGAGAGGAGAGUGUGGUAAUUAGAGAAAGCAGCAAGGUCAAAGUAGUUAUUUGUAUUUUUUUGAAGAAAUCUGGAUAAUAUGAAGGAAAAUUUGAAGAUGCUGGGAAGACACCUAAUAAAGGUAAAAGCAGUAUUGCUCCUAAUAUGGGUAGGUUUUUGUUUCUGAUAAAAGUAACAGGUAUUUUUAAGAAUUUUUGUAAGUGAAAUAAGGCUAUUUCCCUCUUUGUCUACUGUUGUCCUUUAAAAGUUUUUAUAUAUUUCUUUGUUUACAGCUUCAGAACUAGCAAAAACACCAAAAAAAAGUGUUUCAUUCAGUUUGAAGAAUGAUCCUGAGAUAACAAUGAAUGUUCCUCAAAGUAGCAAGGAGCAAUGACAAAAGUGAAUUUCUGUCAACAGCACCUCGUAGUCUAAGAAAAAGAUUAAUAGUUCCAAGGUCUCCUUCUGACAGUGAAAGCGAAUAUUCUGCUUCCAACUCAGAGGAUGAUGAAGGGGUUGCACAGGAAUAUGAAGAGGACACUAAUGCAGUCAUAUUCAGCCAAAAGAUUCAAGCUCAGAAUAGAGUAGUUUCAGCUCCUGUUUGCAAAGAAACACCUUCUAAAAGAAUGAAAAGAGAUAAAACAAGUGACUUAGUAGAAGAAUAUUUUGAAGCUCACAGCAGUUCAAAAGUUUUAACCUCUGAUAGAACACUGCAGAAGCUAAAGAGAGCCAAACUGGAUCAGCAAACUUUGCGUAGCUUAUUGAGCAAGGUUUCUCCUUCCUUUUCUGCCGAACUUAAACAACUAAAUCAACAGUAUGAAAAGUUAUUUCAUAAAUGGAUGCUGCAAUUACAGUAAGUAUUAUUACAAACCCUUGUAAAAUAAUCAUAUAUAAUUUUACACGAAUCUUUAUGUUAAAUCAAAGUAAGUUAACAUCUUUUUACAGUG
RNAcentral lists this long non-coding RNA (969 nucleotides) under Saimiri boliviensis boliviensis (Bolivian squirrel monkey). RNAcentral describes it as "lncRNA (ENSSBOG00000036531.1)". Lineage: Eukaryota; Metazoa; Chordata; Mammalia; Primates; Cebidae. The record is from RNAcentral.